RNAcentral lists this transfer RNA (76 nucleotides) under Bacillota bacterium. RNAcentral describes it as "tRNA-Lys". It matches the Rfam family "tRNA". From Rfam's summary of the family: Transfer RNA (tRNA) molecules are approximately 80 nucleotides in length. Their secondary structure includes four short double-helical elements and three loops (D, anti-codon, and T loops). Lineage: Bacteria; Bacillati; Bacillota. The record is from RNAcentral. RNAcentral also lists the same sequence under 1 other name.
GGGCCGUUAGCUCAGUUGGUAGAGCAGCUGACUCUUAAUCAGCGGGUCACAGGUUCGAUCCCUGUACGGCCUACCA